This is a long non-coding RNA of Drosophila simulans, 1881 nucleotides long. RefSeq lists it as uncharacterized. Lineage: Eukaryota; Metazoa; Arthropoda; Insecta; Diptera; Drosophilidae. The record is from RefSeq and is a predicted model, not a curated record. The transcript is spliced from 3 exons.
CGAAUAUAUCACUGGUAACUUUAGGAACCGCACGAAGGUCGCUCCAAGGUCGGCGUAACGAACCUACCUCGAAGUCCUUAGGAUCCAACGUCUUGGCAUCCAGAUUCCGACACUUCUCCACCAGCUGGAUGCCAUGGCUGCCCGGCAGUGCGUAUAUUUGGGCCACCUUCGGAGAUUGCGACAACUUCCAGCAGAUCGCGUGCUCCCGACCGCCGCUGCCAAUGACCAGAACGCGAUGCGACAUAAUUCCGCUGGAGUGGAUGAACCACUAAUCAAACUAAUUCGACUUAAUCACGUUUCCAGAGCAACAAUAACACCAAACUAAUGCGCACCCACGUGUUGAUCGAAAAGCACGCGCGAUUUGAAGUUUAAAGCCCGUUUCGAUUUCGAAUUCGGAUCAAACCGCUCGCUUCGACGCCUCUUUUUCAACUAAAAUCUGGGGGAAUCGAGAAGUUGGAAACUAGGUAGGCACAGUACGUAUGUUCAGGGGCUGAUAAGAGCGCUUCCAGUGGGUUGAUUGCAAUAUUUUCUACACAGACGAAAAUCAACUAGAUGGCAACUAGAUUUCUUCUAUAUGAACAGAAUUUAUAAAUGCUUUGAUAUAGAUGGUAUAGUUCAAGUUGAUAUAGUAGUAUAGUACAUACUACCCUUAAAAGUUAAACAAACAAUUUAUGCCUGUGCUAGCAUUUUUUUUUCCAGUCCAACCGCUGCUGUUUGUUGUUUUCAGCUGGACGAUUGGAAAAGUUGCUAAUAAAUAACAAAAACACGACGAUAGCCUUUCGGGACCCCUGCAAAAUCAACGAUCGCUGGGGGUAAAUGGAGCAGUAACUCAAAUUGCAUUCGCUUAUCAGGAUCACUUUGUAAAUCAAAUAAACAUCCGAAAGAUCUGGAAUUUUUCCUCAAAAAGUACAUACAUAUGUUGCUUAGCUGCUUUUAUGCGAAAUAUUAGAUCAGCUGUAUGCUAAAAGCUCUUCUUAAACAUACAUAUAUGUAUCUAGAAUAAAAGCUCAAAGCUAAACGAGGUAACUCCCCGGGUAAGCUUUUAAGAUCAGAAACUACUUUCUCUACCAUACAGGGAAAAACUAUAUUUAUAAUCCUAAAUAUCCCGAAAAAUAGCCUUAGGUACAUAACAUUCACCACAAUUAGUCAGACAGUUGAAUCGAAAAUCAUUAAUGAGGUCGAAAACAAGUCGAGUUUGAAUCAACAUCCGCUGAUUAAUUAGGUAUUGAAAGGCAACAGGCAAUAAAUAAGAUCGAAUCUCGAGCUCAAUAAUUUGCGGGAUCAUUGCACUGCAGAAAUCAUAAUCUUGCGUCACAUGUUAAAAUUACCGUUUCAUUUUAUUAGUAUGCAUUAUACAAAAUUUUGUGGUGUGAGUUGUAAAUUUACAAAAUAUCUACCAUAGUCCGUCAUAAAAUUUGUUUAAGAUAGGUGUGGAUACUCCUCGGGUCUAGCCAGUGGGUAGAUCAACGAAAACGCGCCACAUCGAACCUGAGUGCGACAUUGAAUCUCAGAAUGCGUCGUGGUUUGCGCUUUUCGCUUGAUUUUAAUUUUUAUAUAUAUAUAUAUUUAAAAACAUGCAUUUGGAAUCGAAGUACCAAGUUGAAAAUUAGAAGUUAUUGAAAGAGACAGGACUUGCUCCAUCGCCGCAAUCUGUUACCGCCGCAUCUGAAAGCCAAUGGAGCCGUUCGGACAGGGACCCUUGGGCAGGCGCAGGACUAGGUCGUUGAACGGAUGCGGGUGCUGGCCGAGCUGCUGCGCGUGAUGAUUCUGCUGCUGCUGAUGCUGGUGCUGCUGCGGCGACUGGAGCGACUGUUGGCGCAGGAGGGCAGCGGACACCGAUCCGCCCACAACAGGUGACCAGCUCUGCUGCGGAUUGGGAGA